Molecule: ribosomal RNA, 1034 nt
Filed under: Bacteroidota bacterium
Lineage: Bacteria; Pseudomonadati; Bacteroidota
Description: bacterial SSU rRNA
Rfam family: Bacterial small subunit ribosomal RNA
Source: RNAcentral
UUUACUGAGAGUUUGAUCCUGGCUCAGGAUGAACGCUGGCGGCGUGCCUUAGGCAUGCAAGUCGAACGGUAAUCCCACCAUAUGCUUGCAUGUGGUGGGAACGAGUGGCAGACGGGUGAGUAACGCGUAGGAAUCUACCCUCUAGUGGGGAAUAGCCUUCCGAAAGGAGGGGUAAUACCGCAUGUGAUCUCCGGAUCAAAGACCGUAACUGGUCGCUAGAGGAGGAGCCUGCGUCCCAUCAGCUAGUUGGUAGGGUAAUGGCCUACCAAGGCGACGACGGGUAGGGGGUGUGAGAGCACGGCCCCCCACAAGGACACUGAGACACGGGUCCUACACCUACGGGUGGCAGCAACCGGGAAUAUUGCGCAAUGGGCGAAAGCCUGACGCAGCGACGCCGCGUGUGGGAAGAAGGCCUUCGGGUUGUAAACCACUGUGGUAGGGGAACAAGCUCUGAGGGUACCCUACUAGAAAGCACCUGCUAACUACGUGCCAGAAGCCUCGGUAAUACGUAGGGUGCAAGCGUUAUCCGGAUUUACUGGGCGUAAAGCGUCCGUAGGCGGUUUGGUAAGUAUAUGGUCAAAGCCCUCGGCUCAACCGAGGAAAGGCUGUAUAAACUGCCAGACUAGAGGGUUGCAGAGGUUGUCGGAAUUCUCGGUGGAGGGGUGAAAUCCGUUGAUAUCGAGAGGAACACCAAUGGCGAAGGCAGACAACUGGGCAACUCCUGACGCUCAGGGACGAAAGCUAGGGUAGCAAACCGGAUUAGAGACCCGGGUAGUCCUAGCCGUAAACGAUGGAUACUUGCCGGUUGUCCCGAUUUAUCGGGGUGGCUGGCUGAAGCUAACGCGAUAAGUAUCCCGCCUGGGAAGUACGGCCGCAAGGCUAAAACUCAAAGGAAUUGACGGGGGAGCGCACAACCGGUGGAGCAUGUGGUUUAAUUCGAUACGAAGCGAAGAACCUUACCUGGGCUUGACAUCCUGCCGUAUGUUUUUCUCGAAAGAGAAAAACCUUCAGGCAGGACAGGUGCUGCAUGGCUG